GCCGUUGAAAAACACUCCCGUAGACUUCCAUGGUAACUGAGGAAAGCGGAAGUAACGCGUGUCGUGGAGCAACUAUAAAGUACUAAACUAAAGUAAAGUUGGCCGCAUAUUCACAGAUUCGAAUUUCCCUGGAUCAAUAACUCGUGAGCUAAACGCGGUUGGUACACAAAUAAUCUCUUUUCAAUCGUAGUAAUGUAGAGAAGCAGCUACAACCUAAUUUUCCUUAAAACCAGCUUUCCCCCGCAGUGGACAAAAAAAAAGGCAGAUUGGAAGGGACCGUUUGCAAAGUGCAAAACCCGAAAAGCAGUACAUCUCCGUGUACUACAUCUACAACACUUAGUGUGGAAAUAUAUGCUUUCCCUACAGUAGUUCAUGCUGUAUGAUUAUGAUAAAAAUUAUGCAAAAAGAGUGUUGUAGUAUAACCAUCAGGACAUCAGUGAUGUGUGAAGUGAAUUUGGUGACAGUACAGUGUAUUACAGUGAAGUUAUUAAAUUUUUCAUAAUAGUCAAGUCAUUGAAUAUUUUUCACUAUAGAAAAUCAUAAAAAUUAUGCAAAAAUACAUUUUCCCAAAAUAAGUGUUGUAGUAUAACUAUCAGAACAGCAGUGAUGUGUGAACUGAGUUUGGUGACACUACAGUGUGUAACAUUGAAGUUAUUGACUGUUUUUGUAGUAUUGCUUUUCGGGUUUUGCACUUUGCAGACGGUCCCUUCGAAUCUUUCUCUCAGCCUUCUUCGCAUAGACAUCAAUGUAUUUUGUCCACUGCGGAGGAAAGCUGGUUUUGAGAAAAAUUAGGUUGUAGCUGCUUGUCUACGAUUGAAAAGAGGUGUUAUUUGUGUACCAACAGCGUUUAGCUUACGAGUCUAUGAAUCUAUCUAUGAAAAUCUAUGAAUAUGCGGCCAACUUUACUUAAGUUAGUUACUAACACUGCAUUGAACACCAUUCAUUUCAGUGUUUCUUAAAGGGGUGGUUCAGUGUUUUUUUUCUAGGCUUGACUGUGUUUAUGGGGCGCAGUUUAACAUGUCCUAAUGCUUAGUUUAAAAAGAAAAAACGCUGUAUUUUUCAUAUAUAUUUACAUUUAUUCUACACCGCUGUUUCCAUUGUCAUUUGAAAGGCUGGUUUGAUCUAUGAUACCCCUCCCUCCGAAAUAUGCAAUGGGCUCAGAUCGGUUAGCUGGCCCAGUGUAUUGUGAUUCGCUGAAGCGUCCGGGAACGCCACGCCCCUUACCAUUAGUUUUUACAUGUGCUUCGGUGGAAAUGUAAAUAAUGUAGUCUAUAUUGCCGUAUGAAAUUGACCUGAAUCAGACCCAGAUAGCAGUAAGGAAGAAGAGGGUCAAGCAGAACCUCUGCAAGCACGGUUUUUAAAGGACGUUUAUGAAUGAAACACAUAACAAUCCAAGAAGGAAGAUCCUUUCCUGGACUAAAGAGAUGCACCACAUGCUGCAAGGAGUUCCUCUGCCCGUUCUGCAGUUCUGCUUUGUUUCACCCAACAAAGUGGAGCAAAGUGAAAUCCCAUUUGGAGAGCCAUUUCAAACGCACAGUUCUCUAUGAAGACCAUCAUUUAUGGCCUGGCUGGGCUGCAGAAUUUCUCUGUGGGAUGCUGAGAAGGCCUUCUUCUCUGGUCCGGAUUAUCAUCACAUGUAAGAGUAGAAAAUGUAAUUUUUUUACACUGUGUCCAAUGUAUCAUUUUUUAAGCAUUAACAGUAUUUCUGUUAACCCAGCAGUGGUUAUGUUCUCCAUUAACUAUUUUAGUGAAGUGGAAGAAAAGAGAAAAGAGGGGAGAGCAUCCAUUGGUAGGUAGUGCUGCUGCAUACUUCACAAUCUGUGCUUUAAAUAUUUAAAGGUCAGGAAAAGUCAUGUCAAUAACAUGUUAUUUCUAUUCAGAUCUCUUGCAUCUCUCUCUAUUUAUUUAUUUUUUCUCAGUUCAGAUGGGCUUUGUUGACAUGAAAGUUUUAUUUUCUUGAGAACCUUUGUUCCCACGGCAUCAAAAUAAAAUGUUUCCAAAUCUUUGAACAGUAUGCAAUAACAGUAAUAUGAACAUUAAUUGGUAUGAAGAUUGACAUAAUUAUUUUUGUAUCAUAUAUAAUGUGUGUGCUCUGUGGUCACUAAGAUCUUUUAAAUAUUGAACAUGUUUAACUAAAUGUUCCUUAUUUCAUUCACUUCUCUCUCUCUCUCUCUCUCUCUCU
Molecule: long non-coding RNA, 2182 nt
Organism: Ctenopharyngodon idella (grass carp)
Lineage: Eukaryota; Metazoa; Chordata; Actinopteri; Cypriniformes; Xenocyprididae
Exons: 3
Source: RefSeq, a predicted model, not a curated record